GGCGGCGUAGACCGGGCGGCUCUGCGUCUCCAGGGCGUAGGAGAUCCGGCUGUCCGAGACCACCACGCCGCCG
RNAcentral lists this transfer RNA (73 nucleotides) under Micromonospora parathelypteridis. RNAcentral's name for it is "tRNA-Trp". The record is from RNAcentral. Lineage: Bacteria; Bacillati; Actinomycetota; Actinomycetes; Micromonosporales; Micromonosporaceae.